CGGGCAUAGCAAUAUGUCAGCGGCAGACGGGUGAGUAACGCGUGGGAACGUACCUUUUGGUUCGGAACAACUGAGGGAAACUUCAGCUAAUACCGGAUAAGCCCUUACGGGGAAAGAUUUAUCGCCGAAAGAUCGGCCCGCGUCUGAUUAGCUAGUUGGUGAGGUAAUGGCUCACCAAGGCGACGAUCAGUAGCUGGUCUGAGAGGAUGAUCAGCCACAUUGGGACUGAGACACGGCCCAAACUCCUACGGGAGGCAGCAGUGGGGAAUAUUGGACAAUGGGCGCAAGCCUGAUCCAGCCAUGCCGCGUGAGUGAUGAAGGCCCUAGGGUUGUAAAGCUCUUUUGUGCGGGAAGAUAAUGACGGUACCGCAAGAAUAAGCCCCGGCUAACUUCGUGCCAGCAGCCGCGGUAAUACGAAGGGGGCUAGCGUUGCUCGGAAUCACUGGGCGUAAAGGGUGCGUAGGCGGGUCUUUAAGUCAGGGGUGAAAUCCUGGAGCUCAACUCCAGAACUGCCUUUGAUACUGAAGAUCUUGAGUUCGGGAGAGGUGAGUGGAACUGCGAGUGUAGAGGUGAAAUUCGUAGAUAUUCGCAAGAACACCAGUGGCGAAGGCGGCUCACUGGCCCGAUACUGACGCUGAGGCACGAAAGCAUGUGGAGCAAACAGGAUUAGAUACCCUGGUAGUCCACGCUGUAAACGAUGAAUGCCAGCCGUUAGUGGGUUUACUCACUAGUGGCGCAGCUAACGCUUUAAGCAUUCCGCCUGGGGAGUACGGUCGCAAGAUUAAAACUCUAUGCGAAUUGACGGGGGCCCGCACAAGCGGUGGAGCAUGUGGUUUAAUUCGACGCAACGCGCAGAACCUUACCAGCCCUUGACAUCCCGGUCGCGGACUCCAGAGACGGAGUUCUUCAGUUCGGCUGGACCGGAGACAGGUGCUGCAU
This 939-nucleotide ribosomal RNA is filed under the name Bradyrhizobium elkanii. RNAcentral's name for it is "bacterial SSU rRNA". It matches the Rfam family "Bacterial small subunit ribosomal RNA", at positions 67 to 1046 of the family's 1533-position model. The record is from RNAcentral. Lineage: Bacteria; Pseudomonadati; Pseudomonadota; Alphaproteobacteria; Hyphomicrobiales; Nitrobacteraceae.